Long non-coding RNA from Brassica rapa (field mustard), 2980 nucleotides. RefSeq lists it as uncharacterized. The record is from RefSeq and is a predicted model, not a curated record. Lineage: Eukaryota; Viridiplantae; Streptophyta; Magnoliopsida; Brassicales; Brassicaceae.
GAGGAAGCCAAAUUUUGUGUUUCCUCGGAAUUGCCUCGGAAAUUCCUCGGUAUAUUCCGAGGAAUUCAUUUUCCGUCGGAACGUCCGUCAGAAUACCGCUGUUUUCUUGUAGUGUAUGAAGAAACUGUAGUAGUUUUGCUUUGGAUAAUGGUGGUGAUGUCCGUCACUGUUUUUUUUUUCGGUUCUUGUAUUUGUGUUAAAUGUUCCUUGCGGGCAUGUAAAGAGAACGAUGAAGAAAUUGUGCAUCUGAAUAUCAAAGCAUGAAUCUAACCAACGAGCAUGAGUGAUGACAAAGAUCAAGGCAAAGGACAAGCUUUGCAAACCAAGAUAAAUUAGUGAUUAGGAAUUAGGGAAAAGCUUUUAGAAUUUUACUCUUAAUAGGGUUUAUCAUUCGAAGUUCUUUUUAUUUUCUGGUUAUACAUGGGUUUUAAAUAUAUGCUUGAUUUUUAUAACGUUCUUUCUGUUUUCUUUUAGAAUUUGCUUAAACAGGUGUGAGAGACCCAUUAGCCAUUGAGACUUGGUUACGAUUUCAGUAUUCAUAUUUUGUGUGAAUGUUUUUUAAAAGGUUGUGUGACAGUUUGAAGAAGAUUAUUCACUUUGAAUCAAACAUCAUCACAUCUAAACCUCAAAUACGGACGAGUUUCUCUCUCUAAUGAGGGCAUCGAAAUAAUUGUUAAGAGAUUCUUAUAUUUAUCUAGAUUGACUGAAAACUAUUACGGAUAUAUACGGAUAUAUGGAGAAUAUAUUUGUAUAUGACAUGUAAAUAUUCCUAUUGUACGAUUAUUAUGUAAAGAUACCAUAUAAGUAGGUUAGUCGUCUGUAUAUAAACCUUUGGGUCAUUAACCUUAUGAAUACAAGAAACUCCUUUAAUUUAUACAUCUCUAGGUUUCUUGACAUGGUAUCAGAACACGUACAAAUUCGUGUGCUCUCUCUUUCGAUUUUUCUUUUGUGUGUCUUUCUUCUCUAAUACGUGAACAUGGGAAGCAAAGAUGGAGAACAUUCCGCCGAGGAAUCGGGUGUGAAGAACUCGGGUCAGUUAUGAAGAAUAUAGUACAUGGGAAGCAAAGAUGGAGAAUGUAUUAUGUAAAUAUUUGUACGAUUAUGUAAAGAUAACCUAGAACUAGGUUUAGUCAUAUGUAUAUAAACCUUUAGGUCACUGACCUUAUGAAUACAAGAAAAUCCUUUAUACAUCUCUAGGUUUCUUGACAAAAACAUCAGUAUGUUAGGCGGUUCAUCUUGAUCGACCAAAAUUGAUUCGAGAUCUCGGUAUAUUCUACUAUCAUACGGCCUGUACCUACGUGCCUACGUCUUUAUAUCGUUUCGCAUAAUGAUAUUGAAUUCAUGAUUAUAAACUAACGAGAGAGCCAAUCUAAAGAUAAUAACAGUGAAUUCUAUAAUAAGUCGAUGAUAAGAACGCUUAUAUUAUAGAAUGCCAUGUAAUAAUAACAAUCUGAAAGAUUAUUAUUGGCUACAAAUUCCAUAAGAAUCAUGAGAUCAGUAAUUGGAUAAAGCAAGUUUCAAAAAAGAAGAAGCAAGUUUUAAAGCCCCUAAAGAAAUACUAUUAAUCAUUUAUGAGAUCUGUGACUGUCUCUAGAUAUCAGUCGUCGUCUGAAAUCUCCUGGAUGGUCUCCCCGGCCGGUAAACUCCCGAGUUCGAUGUCACGUAAGCGAAUGUCUUCCCUAUGAACGCCGUUAUUAGUCACCCACUCCAAAAAUAUCAACCACAUGACAAAAUAGAAUCCAAUAAAGUAUAUGAUGAAGAUGAUACACUUGCUCCCAAGAUCUAUUAUAUGAUCACGGCUUACGUCCAACGUUGCAUUAGAAAAAAACGGAGGAGGUGCCACAGAUUCCAUUAUUAAUACUAAGCUGACCGGUGUAUAUAUAUAUAGAUGUAUAACUUAAACAAUUGUGAUACGACUUCUAAUAUAAGUAUAUAUUACUGCGAGCUCUAACUCAAUCUACAUUAGUUACGAAUUUUAUGAAAGAAAAUAUGGAACUUUUAUCGACUCUAGAUUUUAUUUUAUUUUAUUUAGUUAAUGGAAUUUUUUUUAUGGUAAGAUUAUUUUGUUAAUGGAUAUGCUCUUAAAUAUCAUCAACAAUAUGUGCUCUACAGAUAACUUCGCCAAUACACAAAAUAUAAUCUAUAACAUAAACAAUAGUUUUUUUAUAAGUAUAUAAACAAGAGUUUAAGAAAAUAGGAAUUCUUACAUAUAGUUUUCAACUUAUUAUAAGCGUAAAUAUAUAUAAAUAUUUUACCUAUAUUUUAAACAAAGUAAAACAAUUCGAUAUGUUUUUCAUCAUAUCCAAUCAAACAAAGUAUAAUAAUUUUAUUUUAUUACGUUUAAGAAUGCUCUAAACGAUUUAUGUGAUUGGUAAAAUCGAGGAGGGGGUUUGACUUUACUAUUUGUUUUUAGAUACAGUAAAAUAAAUCUCUUGAUCUAUAUAUACGUCGUUGGUAUCUCUAUAGAAACUUUCACAACUAACUGCAUUCUCAGGAUUUAGCAAAACAACAAGGUUUAUAGUCUUCUGGAAUCCUUUCGCUAACACCAUGGAUACAUCACGCUAUGAGGAAACUGUAGUAGUGUUGCUCUGGAUAAUCGUGGUGAUGUCCGUCAUUGUUUUUCUUUUCGGUUCUUGUAUUUGUGUUAAAUGUUCGUUGCGGGCAUGUAAAGAGAACGAUGAAGAAAUUGUGCAUCUGAAUAUCAAAGCAUGAAUCUAAACCCAAGAGCAUGAAUGAUGGACAACGAUCAAGGCAAAGCAUAACCUUUGCAAAUCAAGGUAUUUUUAGUGAUAGGAAUUAGGGAAAAGCUUUUAGACUUUUACUCUUAAUAGGGUUUAUCGUUCGAAGUUCUUUUUAUUUUCUGGCUAUACGUGGGUUUUAAAUAUUUGCUUGAUUUUUAUUACGUUCUUUCUGUUUUCUUAUGGAAUUUGCUUCAUCAGUCUCUCUUUUCUCUCUGUUAAAUACAUGAAAUUUACAUCAA